RNAcentral lists this ribosomal RNA (782 nucleotides) under uncultured bacterium. RNAcentral's name for it is "bacterial SSU rRNA". It matches the Rfam family "Bacterial small subunit ribosomal RNA", at positions 95 to 878 of the family's 1533-position model. The record is from RNAcentral.
CUCGCGCACGGGUGAGUAACGCGUAGAUAACCUGCCUAUAGCUGGGGGAUAACCCCGAGAAAUCGGGGCUAAUACCGCAUAAUGCAGCGGGGCCGCAUGGUCACAGUUGUUAGCCUUCGGGCGGCUAUAGAUGGGUCUGCGUGCCAUUAGUUAGUUGGUAGGGUAAUGGCCUACCAAGGCGAUGAUGGCUAGGGGGUCUGAGAGGAUGAUCCCCCACACUGGGACUGAGACACGGCCCAGACUCCUACGGGAGGCAGCAGUGAGGAAUCUUGCGCAAUGGAGGAAACUCUGACGCAGCCACGCCGCGUGCCGGAAGAAGGCCCUAUGGGUUGUAAACGGCUUUUAAUUGGGAAGAAGGAUAGGGUUUUGAUUUAUUUGACGGUACCGAUUGAAUAAGCACCGGCUAACUCCGUGCCAGCAGCCGCGGUAAUACGGAGGGUGCAAGCGUUGUCCGGAAUCAUUGGGUGUAAAGGGUGCGUAGGCUGGCUCUUAAGUCUGAGGUGAAAUCUUGCCGCUUAACGGUAAAAUGGCCUUGGAUACUGGGAGUCUUGAAUCUGACAGAGGUCGGUGGAAUUCGUAGUGUAGCGGUGAAAUGCAUAGAUAUUACGAAGAACACCAGUGGCGAAGGCGGCCGGCUGGGUCAGUAUUGACGAUGAGGCACGAGAGCGUGGGGAGCGAACAGGAUUAGAUACCCUGGUAGUCCACGCUGUACACGAUGUAUGCUAGUUGUUGGGCCUUUGGGCUCAGUGACGCAGUUAACGCAGUAAGCAUACCACCUGGGG